RNAcentral lists this long non-coding RNA (1786 nucleotides) under Pelobates cultripes (western spadefoot toad). The record is from RNAcentral. Lineage: Eukaryota; Metazoa; Chordata; Amphibia; Anura; Pelobatidae.
CCCAGUGAUGGGAAAUGUAGUCCCAGACAGUCAGUGCGGAUUGUUACUCCGUGCGCUGUGGCUCCCAGUGAUGGGAAAUGUAGUCCCAGACAGUCAGUGCGGAUUGUUACUCCAAGCGCUAUGGCUCCCAGUGAUGGGAAAUGUAGUCACAGACAGUCAGUGCGGAUUGUUACUCCGUGCGCUAUGGCUCCCAGUGAUGGGAAAUGUAGUCCCAGACAGUCAGUGCGGAUUGAUACUCCGUGCGCUGUGGCUCCCAGUGAUGGGAAAUGUAGUCCCAGACAGUCAGUGCUGAUUGAUACUCCAGGUGCUCUGGCUCCCAGUGAUGGGAAAUGUAGUCCCAGACAGUCAGUGCGGAUUGUUACUCCAUGCGCUGUGGCUCCCAGUGAUGGGAAAUGUAGUCCCAGACAGUGCGGAUUGAUACUCCGUGCGCUAUGGCUCCCAGUGAUGGGAAAUGUAGUCCCAGACAGUCAGUGCGGAUUGUUACUCCGUGCGCUAUGGCUCCCAGUGAUGGGAAAUGUAGUCCCAGUCAGUCAGUGCGGAUUGAUACUCCGUGCGCAAUGGCUCUCAGUGAUGGGAAAUGUAGUCCCAGUCAGUCAGUGCGGAUUGAUACUCCGUGCGCUGUGGCUCUCAGUGAUGGGAAAUGUAGUCCCAGACAGUCAGUGCGGAUUGAUACUCCGUGCGCUGUGGCUCUCAGUGAUGGGAAAUGUAGUCCCAGACAGUCAGUGCGGAUUGAUACUCCAGGUGCUAUGGCUCCCAGUGAUGGGAAAUGUAGUCCCAGUCAGUCAGUGCGGAUUGUUACUCCAUGUGCUAUGGCUCCCAGUGAUGGGAAAUGUAGUCCCAGACAGUCAGUGCGGGUUGUUACUCCAUGUGCUAUGGCUCCCAGUGAUGGGAAAUGUAGUCCCAGACAGUCAGUGCGGAUUGUUACUCCAUGUGCUAUGGCUCCCAGUGAUGGGAAAUGUAGUCCCAGACAGUCAGUGCGGAUUGUUACUCCAUGCGCUAUGGCUCCCAGUGAUGGGAAAUGUAGUCCCAGACAGUCAGUGCGGAUUGAUACUCCAGGUGCUAUGGCUCCCAGUGAUGGGAAAUGUAGUCCCAGACAGUCAGUGCGGAUUGUUACUCCGUGCGCUAUGGCUCCCAGUGAUGGGAAAUGUAGUCCCAGUCAGUCAGUGCGGAUUGAUACUCCGUGCGCUAUGGCUCUCAGUGAUGGGAAAUGUAGUCCCAGUCAGUCAGUGCGGAUUGAUACUCCGUGCGCUGUGGCUCUCAGUGAUGGGAAAUGUAGUCUCAGACAGUCAGUGCGGAUUGAUACUCCGUGCGCUGUGGCUCUCAGUGAUGGGAAAUGUAGUCCCAGACAGUCAGUGCGGAUUGAUACUCCAGGUGCUAUGGCUCCCAGUGAUGGGAAAUGUAGUCCCAGACAGUCAGUGCGGAUUGUUACUCCAUGUGCUAUGGCUCCCAGUGAUGGGAAAUGUAGUCCCAGACAGUCAGUGCGGAUUGUUACUCCAGGUGCUGUGGCUCCCAGUGAUGGGAAAUGUAGUCCCAGACAGUCAGUGCGGAUUGUUACUCCGUGCGCUGUGGCUCCCAGUGAUGGGAAAUGUAGUCCCAGACAGUCAGUGCGGAUUGAUACCCCAGGUGCUAUGGCUCCCAGUGAUGGGAAAUGUAGUCCCAGACAGUCAGUGCGGAUUGUUACUCCAGGUGCUGUGGCUCCCAGUGAUGGGAAAUGUAGUCCCAGACAGUCAGUGCGGAUUGUUACUCCGUGCGCUAUGGCUCCCAGUGAUGGGAAAUGUAGUCCCAG